GCUCAGAUUGAACGCUGGCGGCAGGCCUAACACAUGCAAGUCGAGCGGAUGAAAGGAGCUUGCUCCUGGAUUCAGCGGCGGACGGGUGAGUAAUGCCUAGGAAUCUGCCUGGUAGUGGGGGACAACGUUUCGAAAGGAACGCUAAUACCGCAUACGUCCUACGGGAGAAAGCAGGGGACCUUCGGGCCUUGCGCUAUCAGAUGAGCCUAGGUCGGAUUAGCUAGUUGGUGAGGUAAUGGCUCACCAAGGCGACGAUCCGUAACUGGUCUGAGAGGAUGAUCAGUCACACUGGAACUGAGACACGGUCCAGACUCCUACGGGAGGCAGCAGUGGGGAAUAUUGGACAAUGGGCGAAAGCCUGAUCCAGCCAUGCCGCGUGUGUGAAGAAGGUCUUCGGAUUGUAAAGCACUUUAAGUUGGGAGGAAGGGUUGUAGAUUAAUACUCUGCAAUUUUGACGUUACCGACAGAAUAAGCACCGGCUAACUCUGUGCCAGCAGCCGCGGUAAUACAGAGGGUGCAAGCGUUAAUCGGAAUUACUGGGCGUAAAGCGCGCGUAGGUGGUUCGUUAAGUUGGAUGUGAAAUCCCCGGGCUCAACCUGGGAACUGCAUUCAAAACUGUCGAGCUAGAGUAUGGUAGAGGGUGGUGGAAUUUCCUGUGUAGCGGUGAAAUGCGUAGAUAUAGGAAGGAACACCAGUGGCGAAGGCGACCACCNGGAC
This 717-nucleotide ribosomal RNA is filed under the name Pseudomonas koreensis. RNAcentral's name for it is "bacterial SSU rRNA". It matches the Rfam family "Bacterial small subunit ribosomal RNA", at positions 22 to 734 of the family's 1533-position model. Lineage: Bacteria; Pseudomonadati; Pseudomonadota; Gammaproteobacteria; Pseudomonadales; Pseudomonadaceae. The record is from RNAcentral.